GACGAACGCUGGCGGCGUGCUUAACACAUGCAAGUCGAACGGAAAGGCCCUGCUCUUGUGGGGUGCUCGAGUGGCGAACGGGUGAGUAACACGUGAGUAACCUGCCCUUGACUUUGGGAUAACUUCAGGAAACUGGGGCUAAUACCGGAUAGGAGCUCCUGCUGCAUGGUGGGGGUUGGAAAGUUUCGGCGGUUGGGGAUGGACUCGCGGCUUAUCAGCUUGUUGGUGGGGUAGUGGCUUACCAAGGCUUUGACGGGUAGCCGGCCUGAGAGGGUGACCAGCCACAUUGGGACUGAGAUACGGACCAGACUCCUACGGGAGGCAGCAGUGGGGAAUAUUGCACAAUGGGCGGAAGCCUGAUGCAGCAACGCCGCGUGCGGGAUGACGGCCUUCGGGUUGUAAACCGCUUUCGCCUGUGACGAAGCGUGAGUGACGGUAAUGGGUAAAGAAGCACCGGCUAACUACGUG
This 468-nucleotide ribosomal RNA is filed under the name uncultured bacterium. Its description in RNAcentral is "partial 16S ribosomal RNA". It matches the Rfam family "Bacterial small subunit ribosomal RNA", at positions 28 to 507 of the family's 1533-position model. The record is from RNAcentral.